CAGUAGCCGCGGUAAAACGUAGGUGGCAAGCGUUGUCCGGAAUUAUUGGGCGUAAAGGGCUCGCAGGCGGUUUCUUAAGUCUGAAGUGAAAGCCCCCGGCUCAACCGGGGAGGGUCAUUGGAAACUGGGAAACUUAGGUGCAGAAGAGGAGAGUGGAAUUCCACGUGUAGCGGUGAAAUGCGUAGAGAUGUGGAGGAACACCAGUGGCGAAGGCGACUCUCUGGUCUGUAACUGACGCUGAGGAGCGAAAGCGUGGGGAGCGAACAGGAUUAGAUACCCCCGUAGUCCCUGUCUCUUAUAC
This 301-nucleotide ribosomal RNA is filed under the name uncultured bacterium. Its description in RNAcentral is "partial 16S ribosomal RNA". It matches the Rfam family "Bacterial small subunit ribosomal RNA", at positions 509 to 807 of the family's 1533-position model. The record is from RNAcentral.